RNAcentral lists this ribosomal RNA (1278 nucleotides) under Bacciger lesteri. RNAcentral's name for it is "eukaryotic LSU rRNA". It matches the Rfam family "Eukaryotic large subunit ribosomal RNA", at positions 62 to 929 of the family's 3401-position model. The record is from RNAcentral. Lineage: Eukaryota; Metazoa; Platyhelminthes; Trematoda; Plagiorchiida; Faustulidae.
CAACUAACAAGGAUUCCCUUAGUAACGGCGAGUGAACAGGGAUUAGCCCAGCACCGAAGCCUGUGUCCGUUUGGUCAUUAGGCAAUGUGGUGUUUAGGUUGUUUCGCAGAGGCACUGCUCUACCCUAAGUCCGGCAAUGAACACGGUAGUACGGACAUGGCCCACAGAGGGUGAAAGGCCCGUGGGGGUAGAGAUUCAACUGGCCAGUGCUUCUCUGGAAUAACCUUAGAGUCGGGUUGUUUGUGAAUGCAGCCCAAAGUGGGUGGUAGACUCCAUCCAAGGCUAAAUACAUACACGAGUCCGAUAGCAAACAAGUACCGUGAGGGAAAGUUGAAAAGUACUUUGAAGAGAGAGUAAACAGUGCGUGAAACCGCUCAGAGUCUAAACGAAUGGAGUUGAACUGCGACCAUUGAGAAUUCAGCUGACAAGUAUGGUUUGUGCUUGGUCAAAUUGGUUAAAGCUUGCAGUUUGUUAAUUACAAGCYCCUGUCGUUUGGCGGGGGUGUGUGAUGCACUUACCAUGUGUUGCACGCUGUGAGUGUAAUUGGGCCAACUUGUCAGUGCACUUUCUCAUUUGGGUUCACCACGACCGGCAUUGCUGUCUUUACAGUUCAGUUAAACCGGGUGCUCUUAGUCCUUGUGGCUUUGGGUGUUCGGGAUGGCAGGUGGCUCGUCAGCUUUUUCACGGUUUCCGUGAGUUUCGUUGACGAGUGUUAUCAGCUGACUGGUUAUUGUUUUGUUCGGCAUGUCGGAGACGGCGGCUAGUGGUGUGCGUUCGUGCCUAUUUGGCAACGGAAUCCGGUUUGGUUGCUAUGUUGCUUGUUUAAGCAAGCCUGGUGAUAAUCUGGUUUCGUUUGUUGAAGGGUUGCGCUCGUAUCAUCAGUCCAAGGGCCUAAAGUCUGUGGUGUUGUGGUAGACUUUCCAUUCGGCCCGUCUUGAAACACGGACCAAGGAGAUUUACAUAUACGCGAGUUAUUGGGCGUUACGAAACCCAAAAGCGCAGUGAAAGUGAAAGUAUGGCUUGUCCAUAUUGUGGUGAGAUCCCGCUCUGUCUCACACGUGGUACUAUCAAGUUUUGAGGAGUGGGCGCAUCACCGGCCCGUCCCAUGAUAAUUGUCUUUGACAUUUUUCUGUCGGGGCGGAGCAUGAGCGUAUAUGUUGAGACCCGAAAGAUGGUGAACUAUGCUUGCGCAGGUUGAAGCCAGAGGAAACUCUGGUGGAGGACCGCAGCGUUUCUGACGUGCAAAUCGAUCGCCGGACGUGAGUAUAGGGGCGAAAG